AAAGCAGGUUGCAAUUACAGUGCUUCAUUGUGUGGGAGUACUGCCAUUAUCCUGCUGAAAGUAAUUACUGCUGUAGAGUAACAACCUCGUCACGCCUCGCGUUGACGAGGAUGCUCUGUAACAGUGACACAA
Molecule: small nucleolar RNA, 132 nt
Organism: Megalops cyprinoides (Indo-Pacific tarpon)
Lineage: Eukaryota; Metazoa; Chordata; Actinopteri; Elopiformes; Megalopidae
Product: small nucleolar RNA SNORA69
Exons: 1
Source: RefSeq, a predicted model, not a curated record